RNAcentral lists this transfer RNA (66 nucleotides) under Potamiscus yongshengensis. RNAcentral describes it as "tRNA-Asn". Lineage: Eukaryota; Metazoa; Arthropoda; Malacostraca; Decapoda; Potamidae. The record is from RNAcentral.
UUGAUAGAAGCCAAAGAGAGGUGUGUCACUGUUAAUGAUUUUAUUGAAAUUGUAUUUCCUAUCAAU